GCCUACGGCCAUACCACCCUGAAAGCGCCCGAUCUCGUCUGAUCUCGGAAGCUAAGCAGGGACGGGCUUGGUAGUACCUGGAUGGGAGACCGCCUGGAAUACCAGGUGUUGUAGGCU
Molecule: ribosomal RNA, 117 nt
Filed under: Xenopus tropicalis (tropical clawed frog)
Lineage: Eukaryota; Metazoa; Chordata; Amphibia; Anura; Pipidae
Source: RNAcentral